GGCUCUUUGAAAAUAAACGUAUAAAGAGUCGAACCUGCCCAGUGAAUAGUUUUAACGGCCGCGGUACCCUGACCGUGCAAAGGUAGCAUAAUCAUUUGCCUUAUAAUUGAAGGCUGGCAUGAAUGGUCUGACGAGAGCAAUACUGUCUCCUCUUUAUUAUCUAAAAAUUAACCUAUAGGUGAAGAGGCCUAUAUAAGAUUGAAGGACAAGAAGACCCUGUCGAGCUUAAAAGAAAAGUAGAGGUUAGCUAUCAAAAGAGAUCAGUAAACUAUACAUAGCUUUUUAGUUGGGGCGACUAAGGAACAAGUAAAGCUUCUUUUAUUUUUAUAGAUUUAUGGAUUCGGAUCCAGCAAAGCUGAUCAGAGGAAUUAGUUACCGCAGGGAUAACAGCAUAAUCUCCUUUGAGAGACCUAAUCGAAAAGGGGGGUUGUGACCUCGAUGUUGGACUAGAAUAUCCUGAAGAUGCAGACGUCUUCGAAGGUUGGUCUGUUCGACCAUUAAAAUUCU
RNAcentral lists this ribosomal RNA (507 nucleotides) under Stenomelania sp. UGSB 19583. RNAcentral describes it as "partial small subunit ribosomal RNA". It matches the Rfam family "Bacterial large subunit ribosomal RNA", at positions 1817 to 2597 of the family's 2925-position model. The record is from RNAcentral. Lineage: Eukaryota; Metazoa; Mollusca; Gastropoda; Thiaridae. RNAcentral also lists the same sequence under 1 other name.